Molecule: ribosomal RNA, 498 nt
Filed under: uncultured bacterium
Lineage: Bacteria
Description: partial 16S ribosomal RNA
Rfam family: Bacterial small subunit ribosomal RNA
Source: RNAcentral
GAUGAACGCUGGCGGCGUGCCUAAUACAUGCAAGUCGAGCGAACGGACGAGAAGCUUGCUUCUCUGAUGUUAGCGGCGGACGGGUGAGUAACACGUGGAUAACCUACCUAUAAGACUGGGAUAACUUCGGGAAACCGGAGCUAAUACCGGAUAAUAUUUUGAACCGCAUGGUUCAAAAGUGAAAGACGGUCUUGCUGUCACUUAUAGAUGGAUCCGCGCUGCAUUAGCUAGUUGGUAAGGUAACGGCUUACCAAGGCAACGAUGCAUAGCCGACCUGAGAGGGUGAUCGGCCACACUGGAACUGAGACACGGUCCAGACUCCUACGGGAGGCAGCAGUAGGGAAUCUUCCGCAAUGGGCGAAAGCCUGACGGAGCAACGCCGCGUGAGUGAUGAAGGUCUUCGGAUCGUAAAACUCUGUUAUUAGGGAAGAACAUAUGUGUAGGUAACUGUGCACAUCUUGACGGUACCUAAUCAGAAAGCCACGGCUAACUACGUGC